This 497-nucleotide ribosomal RNA is filed under the name uncultured bacterium. Its description in RNAcentral is "partial 16S ribosomal RNA". It matches the Rfam family "Bacterial small subunit ribosomal RNA", at positions 28 to 507 of the family's 1533-position model. The record is from RNAcentral.
GAUGAACGCUGGCGGCGUGCCUAAUACAUGCAAGUCGAGCGAACAGAUGAGGAGCUUGCUCCUCUGACGGUAGCGGCGGACGGGUGAGUAACACGUGGAUAACCUACCUAUAAGACUGGGAUAACUUCGGGAAACCGGAGCUAAUACCGGAUAAUAUAUUGAACCGCAUGGUUCAAGAGUGAAAGACGGUUUGGCCGUCACUUAGAGAUGGAUCCGCGCCGCAUUAGCUAGUUGGUAAGGUAACGGCUUACCAAGGCAACGAUGCGUAGCCGACCUGAGAGGGUGAUCGGCCACACUGGAACUGAGACACGGUCCAGACUCCUACGGGAGGCAGCAGUAGGGAAUCUUCCGCAAAGGGCGCAAGCCUGACGGAGCCACGCCGCGUGAGUGAUGAAGGUCUUCGGAUCGUAAAACUCUGUUAUUAGGGAAGAACAAAUGUGUAAGUAACUAUGCACGUCUUGACGGUACCUAAUCAGAAAGCCACGGCUAACUACGUG